CUUGUCCGAGGUUUGAUCAUCGGUAUCACUCUAUACCUUGUUCAUCCUCGACUCCUGACAAGUACUCUUUACUCGUACUGUGGUAUGUGGUCUUUUAUGAACUUAUUCAUAUGCUUGCAAGACAUUAGACGACAUUCCACCGAGAGGGCCCAGAGUAUAUCUAUCCGUCAUCGGGAUGGACAAAUCCCACUGUUGAUCCAUAUGCCUCAACUCAUACUUUCCGGAUACUUAAUCCCACCUUUAUAAUCACCCAUUUACGCAGUGGCGUUUGGUGUAAUCAAAGUACAUUUCCGGUAUAAGUGAUUUACAUGAUCUCAUGGUCAUAAGGACUAGGUAACUAUGUAUCGAAAGCUUAUAGCAAAUAACUUAAUGACGUGAUCUUAUGCUACGCUUAAUUGGGUGUGUCCAUUACAUCAUCUAUUAUAUAUUAAAAGUAAAUUACGGGCUCACCAGAAAAUAGAGAAAUCGCUAGAAAAUCCCACAAAAAUCAGAAACAUCCGACCAUUAAUUUGAUAGAUAAUAUAGCUCUAGCCAUUAGAUUAGAUUUAAUUAGAAUUACCCACCAUUGCCAUUAUGUAUGUCCCCACACAGUUACCUUUUUAUUUUUCUCCACAACUUAUAGUCUUGAACGCAUCGUGUCGUGGAUCAGAGCCCUAGCUAGGCACUAGCUUGUCCUCAUGACUGCCGCCGCCACCGUAUUUUCCUGGGUGCCGUCGGCGGCCGGCCGGCCGGCCUUCACCAAGUACAUGCACAUCAAUGACAUAUGAUCAAUCUACCUUUCCUCAUUCCCUGCCAACGAAAAUUACCAAUAAGCCGCCACCGUAUUUUCCUGGAUGCCGUCGGCCGGCCGGCCUCCACCAAGUACAUGCACAUCAGCGGCAUGUGAUCAAUCUACCUUUCAUCGUAGAUGUCACCAACGAAAAUCACCAACAAAGAUGCGCAUCCUUAUGUAUUUGAUGUGUAUUUGCCUCAGUGACGUCAGGCAGCCGGCCGCCCGAUCUCCACUGAGUUUUUUGAUAGCUCUGCUGGCCCUAUCUACUGAUCUUAUUUUCCAUCAUCAAUCUCACUCUCCUUUGCAUCGUCACUGGAAAUUCUUCUAGCCGAAAAUUAGGCGAUUGUCGCUCUCCCUGGGGCAAAUGACCAGUAUUCAAGGUGGAUUGUUUGUCGAUGUAGCUGCCCCCCCCUGGAGUUUCUAAACCACUGUCAAUCCUUCAUAUACCUAUGUUCCUAUCCACAUAACAUGGAUGUUAAGGUAAUCACUUUUCCCCCUCUUCUAACUUCUACAAAACCAAAUCUGAACGUUUCUUUUGUAUGAAAGCAAAAUCGAUUUUAAUCUGCACAUGUUGUAUUGCCAUCUAAUACACAUGUCUGCUGCCUAGGAAUUUCUAAAGAUUUUACAUAUUCAAGGGGGCAUCGUUAGACGAGUUGAUGACAUUUAAAAUGGUACUGUAGAACACUAGAAGGCAUUACCGGACUGUUUCUCUUAUUCUGCUAUGAUAUGGAACUCCAAGAUUGAACACAAAGACUAGGAUAUGCUGUGGGGUGGAAUUGAAAAUUCUCAACCAACCCCAUGAGAUUUUUCAUAUCAAAUUGGGUUUAGUAUAUGAUAAAAGUAGUGCAUAGAAAUUUAUUACCUAAUCAAUGAAAGUGUGUUUGUGCUAUCUUAGCUAUUCAUAUGCACCACACAUGCUAGCAAGAGGAUGUCCUACGUCAUGUACGUCUUAAAUCCUUGAUGUAGUGCAUCCCAUUUGUAUUCACUUGAUAUGGUGUGGUUCAGUACAGUUAAUGGAAUCAUCAUCUUGGAUAUGAUUAACAAUCAGUUUUACUUCUAUAACAAAAAUACAGUCAGGAGUUGCAUUUCAUUGAAAUAAAUAUAUAUACUGAAACCUAACCUAAUUUUUCCUCCGUCUCCAUCUCUUCCAUGGCCAUCACGCAAGUCCACGGCCGCCCUUGGCAUGACAAUUUGCUCGAACCCCACAACGCCUCCUUGAGCUGCCUUACUGCUGGAGCACCCGCCAGGCUGCAUGGGCUUGACUAUGCUGUUGCUAGGAUGAGAAGUCGAGAUCGCCGGAGAGAAGCAUACCGGUGGCCGCGCUGGCCGCGCUUUCUACCUACGGCCCUUCUAAGCUAGACUGAGAAUUAGGAGGAGCUAAUUAGAUUGGUAUGUGAUUGAUCUGAGGCUACUAUAAUGCAACUCAAGGAGUGAGGCCAGGCCACCAAUCUAUGGAUGCCAUAAUCCAGCGCCUUCUCGAUUGACGAUGGAAUCCUGUUGGUUGAUGAAGCCAUGAAGGAGGAGAGCUGCGUCAAAUGCAUGAUUACCUCCAACUCUCCAAAAGCCCAUGUGGCGCGUCCGGCCGACCGGCCUCAGGUUGAGUGCUUGAUCGACCACAUCCACGCAUGCUUUAUGUUUCAGUAAUGUUUGCAAAGAUUAGGACGGACAGAUUGGGAAAUCAUGCACACAUAGUUGAUUUGAUCAUUUUAGGGAACAUGAUUAGUAGAUACACGGAUGCUCUGCUGUAAUGCAAUUUUUUUGCUGCUAGGGCAUAUACAUGUCUUCAUUUUUUCACAUAACACUUCCUAAUUUAGAUCAUCUUCAUUUGCGGAACAUACUAGAGCUUAUCUUUUAGUGCAUAUUAGGAUUUGGGAAUACACAUGUGUUCUUAAUACUGGUCUAAUUCAUACAUACGUUGUAGAUAUAAUUUGAAAUUUCAGGCUUACCUACAAGUUAGAAUACUACAACUAGAACCAGCUGCAUAGGUCUAUAUUUUCCCUGCAAAUGAAAAUGAAGUAUAUUGCUCUAAGAAAUUUAUCAUGAUGAAAAGGUUGGCGGUACAUAUGAUGCAUCAUGAUGGAAAGUUAGAUUCCAUUGACAAGAAGGAUGGCUAUACCGGAGUAUGAUUUUGUUGAUAAAUGACUCCAGGUUAACAGAGGUGUUCAUCAACAGGUUCAGCAUAAUCAUGUCUUUUCUUACCAGGGAGCAUAAUCACGUUGACGUGGGAAAUAAGGUCAUUAACCUGAUGUCACUCAUCUUUUGGGUAGAUUUUUUUUGGACAAAUUCGAGCUAUUUAAUUAGUCUGACAUAUAACAGUGCAGUUAGUCAUCUAUAUAUUUACUAACAGGGCCAUCAGCAAUAGUUCAUUUCGUGACAUCAAAUUCAAAUGAACACGCUCCUACGCUCCCGCGAGAGGCAUGGAGCGCCAGCUCCGCCGCCUUCUCUAGCCCCUCCCUAGGAGGAACAUUAAGUUCAAAUAAUGGGGUGCCGAUUAAAGUCUUAUUGUUAGACAGAACACUUGCUACAAUUAGGGAUAGUAUUGCAAGUGAACGAUGAGUAUCUGCCCUCAGUUCGCAUGGAACAGGGUCCCAGCUAAAAGCGCGAAUAGGAGUAUAACAUAUAUACUGCAAUGUGUUACUAAUUUUUCUGUCUCUUGAAAUUUUUAAAAAAUGGAAUUCAUCCCUCUUUCAGCAUUCUCCUCUAAAUUUAUUAACCACAACUAUUAUUAUCUACUAAUAUUUUUUUUAAAAAAUCAAUCCAUCAAUAAAAGUUCAUUUGACAUAGACAAACUACAAUACCUAUGUGCUAUGUGAAAUGUAAUGAACUAUAUAGCACUUACAAAUGAAUUAAAAUUAUACCAGAAACAAAAUUGCCGCUACAACACCAUAAAUCUUCGUGCAUGUUUAAGAAAAGUACGUUGAGUGCACAUCGCAUAGUUUUAUAUUUUCAACUGAAUUUGCAAUGAAUUUUGUGAUUGGGAAUUGGAUACGUUUCAGGGUCCGGGGCGUACCUUGGUUAUGCUACCAGCGUGCACAGGACACCGGGUUGAAAUCAAUUUGUUUGAUAGUUUUUUUCUAUUUUUAUUGUGUGACACCCCUAAAUUGAAGUGAACUAUAUGUGGGACUUUUAGAGUGACACCGGGAAAUUUCUGGCCUGGGUCCGCCUCAGAAAUCAGGGUUGAGUAUGUGAAGUUGGUGAACAGUUAUGGUGUCAAAACAUUUUAUGUACACUGGACAUAUAGAAAUCGCAAGGAACAAUAAAAUUGGUGGCAAGCUACAUUCAACAUCAUUAAAUCCACUUCUCCCAAUGCUUCUGGAUUAAUCUUGUGGUGAGCAUCUCUUAUAGUUCAAAAUAUAGACUGUCAACCAUUUCUUCAGGUAAACCAAUUUUACGCAACCUUUUUAGCAUCUUUAGUACUCCUUUGCUUCUUGUGGAACUGAUUAAUUUUAUAUAAGACCAUAAUUGUUCUAUUAAAAUAUAAUAUUAUUAGUUUCCCAGGGGUCAGGUUUGUGCUUUUAUGGAUUAUAAUUUAGGAAAUUUAAGUGUUAGUAUGCAGGUAUUUUGUUUUACUUAAAUAUGCCAAUACAGUCUUUCUGGAUAUAUAUACAAUACUAAUUGCAUGCCGAAUGUCAGUUCAGAUAUUCGAUGGAGCAACAAAGAGAAGGAAAAGAUAGUUAAGCUCAAUUGAGAUCCUUUCCAAAUUUAGGCGUGAGUGGUACAUUUCUACUAUACACUGACCAUAUUUAGUACAAUCUCCUAUUUUCCUGGAGCUGCCAAUUUCGCUGGAUAUGUGCAAAGGGGAAAUCCAUUCAAUGUGAUAUUUUGAUUCAUGUGGCAGAAGAAUUUUUAUAUCAAUCUAUUUUUGUUUUGUUUUAUACCAGUUAUUAUACAUCUGAGUGUUCCAUCUGCUGUAAGAGAAAAGCGACCAGUUAGUCAUACUAUUGAGUUCCAGAUUUUUUUGUGGUAAAAUCUGGUGGUACAUUCUUUAAUUUUCUGCAGUGUCCUAUUCCCAAAGGGAAAAUCGAUAAAUAAAAGGAGUGGAGAUUCAUAAAUGUGAAAAACAAGAAUGACAAAAUGUUUCAAAUACAUCAUUUACGCUUCCUUUAGGGGCACUAUGCUAUAUCCGUAACUAGGUUUAGUUUUUUUUAUCAUCUUGUAUAUAUACAUAUGAUGAUGUGUAACUGUAAUAUGGUUUUGGCAUUGCAUCUUUUACCAAACAAAAAUAUGUGAUAUUCUAGAAUUCGAACUUUAUAAACUAAA
Molecule: long non-coding RNA, 5032 nt
Organism: Lolium perenne
Lineage: Eukaryota; Viridiplantae; Streptophyta; Magnoliopsida; Poales; Poaceae
Source: RefSeq, a predicted model, not a curated record